Molecule: ribosomal RNA, 252 nt
Filed under: uncultured bacterium
Lineage: Bacteria
Description: partial 16S ribosomal RNA
Rfam family: Bacterial small subunit ribosomal RNA
Source: RNAcentral
UACGAAGGGGGCUAGCGUUGUUCGGAUUUACUGGGCGUAAAGCGCACGUAGGCGGAUUGUUAAGUGAGAGGUGAAAUCCCGGAGCUCAACUCCGGAACUGCCUUUCAUACUGGCAAUCUAGAGUCCGGAAGAGGUGAGUGGAACUCCUAGUGUAGAGGUGGAAUUCGUAGAUAUUAGGAAGAACACCAGUGGCGAAGGCGGCUCACUGGUCCGGUACUGACGCUGAGGUGCGAAAGCGUGGGGAGCAACAGG